UAAGGAAUAUUGCGCAAUGGGCGAAAGCCUGACGCAGCGACGCCGCGUGGGGGAUGAAGGUCUUCGGAUUGUAAACCCCUUUCGGGAGGGAAGAUGGAACGAGCAAUCGUUCGGACGGUACCUCCAGAAGCAGCCACGGCCAACUUCGUGCCAGCAGCCGCGGUAAUACGAAGGUGGCAGGCGUUGUUCGGAUUCACUGGGCGUACAGGGUGUGUAGGCGGUUUGGUAAGCCUUCUGUUAAAGCUUCGGGCCCAACCCGGAAAGCGCAGAGGGUACUGCCGGGCUAGAGGGUGGGAGAGGAGCGCGGAAUUCCCGGUGUAGCGGUGAAAUGCGUAGAGAUCGGGAGGAAGGCCGGUGGCGAAGGCGGCGCUCUGGAACAUACCUGACGCUGAGACACGAAAGCGUGGGGAGCAAACAGGAUUAGAUACCCUGGUAGUCCACGCCCUAAACUAUGGAUACUAAGUGUCGGCGGGUUACCGCCGGUGCCGCAGCUAACGCAUUAAGUAUCCCGCCUGGGAAGUACGGCCGCAAGGCUG
This 536-nucleotide ribosomal RNA is filed under the name Nitrospirales bacterium K21. RNAcentral's name for it is "bacterial SSU rRNA". It matches the Rfam family "Bacterial small subunit ribosomal RNA", at positions 355 to 896 of the family's 1533-position model. Lineage: Bacteria; Pseudomonadati; Nitrospirota; Nitrospiria; Nitrospirales. The record is from RNAcentral.